Long non-coding RNA from Lagopus leucura (white-tailed ptarmigan), 535 nucleotides. RefSeq lists it as uncharacterized. The transcript has 3 exons. The record is from RefSeq and is a predicted model, not a curated record. NCBI's taxonomy places the organism in Eukaryota, Metazoa, Chordata, Aves, Galliformes, Phasianidae.
UUGGUAUUUGGCAUCCUUUUUUGGUUCAGGCAUGGCCUAAACUAGCUCAAGUCCUGAAGUGCUGCUGCCACAGGAGCAUGGCUCUGAGCCUGCACUAACAAGCUCUGCUUCCUGGAGACCCGUGAUGUGUCCUGACCAGAAGACAGUGCUCAGUGGAAAUUACAGCUUGGGCUAAUUCUAAUUUGAUGACCUCUGCACUUCUUCCUGAGGCCCACAGAAAGCCUGUCUGAAGAGUUUGUGAACAUGUUUCAAUGCACAAGUACUUCAGAUUUCCUCAGAGUAGGCAUCUGUACUCAUCAGACUGGCAUCGAUACCUGGCAGUCACUUGUGGUACAUAUGGUGCACCAUUUUACAGCUUCUGGAUUCCCACUGUAGGCAAACUGAAGCCAUCCUUACACUGUAGGGCAAUAAGGAAAGAAAGAAAAUGCUGUCAUCUGAUCACCAACUGUACUAGCAAUAGAAGGUAAUUGCCCACAGAAAAUUACUGUAAACCUAUGUUUGAAUUCUGGACAGGAAUAUGAAGAAAAUUUAAGUC